This is a long non-coding RNA of Anneissia japonica, 938 nucleotides long. RefSeq lists it as uncharacterized. The transcript is spliced from 3 exons. Lineage: Eukaryota; Metazoa; Echinodermata; Crinoidea; Comatulida; Comatulidae. The record is from RefSeq and is a predicted model, not a curated record.
CAAGCGGGGAUUCAUUGUUUCAUCGUCGAUUACAACAAGCGUUGUGUUAAAUUGGAUUCGUUAAAUUAAUUUCGCAAAACGAAAAUGUGCAUGGGUUCUACACUGGACGGAGACAAAUGUAUUUUGGACGAUUCAAUGGUUCCAGAUAAAAUCAUGUUCGAGGACAACCGAAAGAUUGAGAUGGAGAAUAUGGAGAUCCAAAGUUAACAAGAACCCUCCAAGAAAAAAUGUCUGAAUGGCGUACUGUAUUCAAGUGUUGUUCGUUUCUAUUCAUAUAGGUUGCACUAUAUACAUUUUGUCUCAAAGGACUAUUAUGCAGCUUAAAAAAGCCAACAUGCACGUAGACUGGUAUGUGCUGCAAUGACAAACAAAAAAUAUACAGUAUCUGCUAGUUGAAUACCCAGAUAUCCAGUCAGCAGCUGUAAAAACCAAGAUGACUAGAAUAUGUGAAGAUACAAGGCGCGCCAUGUCAAGGGGAAUGGAUACAGCAGCUAAUGUUUAACAACAGGCGCUUAAUGUGCAGUAUUUUUUUUAAUUUUAAAUUGUAACUGUAAUUAUCUUUGCUAAAGGUAACUUAGCAAAGUGUUGUAAUUUAAUUUUUAAAAUAAAAAAAAAUAAAAAACAGACCAUAUACUCCUAAACACAAUGUAAUGUGGACCAAUUUUAUGCAUAAAUUGUAAUUGCAAUGAACCUGUCAAAAACUGGAUGCAUUUUAUGCAACCUAAAUACUCUAGUGUGGUUUUAUAUUACUAGUUUAUUCACAAUAAUGCAAACACAACUUUUAAAAAAGACUAGUUGAUCUAUUUAAUGCGUAAAACACAAGUGAACACAUCUUUAAAGAUGUUGACCAAUUUUACGCAUGAGAAUUCUAUUUGAAAUUAUUAAUCAAUUGCAUACAUAAUUUUGCUAAAUUAUAUAACAAAAUUUUAUUUUUAUUU